Molecule: long non-coding RNA, 242 nt
Filed under: Ananas comosus (pineapple)
Lineage: Eukaryota; Viridiplantae; Streptophyta; Magnoliopsida; Poales; Bromeliaceae
Description: long non-coding RNA (ACOM_LNC003246)
Source: RNAcentral
GAAAUUCUUCUCGGCGAACUUAACGAAAAAGCUUUAGCCUUCCUUGCCCAAAUCAACACUAGCCCGGCCCUAUUUUGCCGAGAACUUCACGCCGGCUCGCCGAAUGCCAAAACCGACUUCGCCCCCACGUUUUGUGACCUACCAAUAGGGUUUCCAAGGCUUCAAAUGAGAUCAAUCUCAUACUUUCACAAAAACCCCAUUUUGGAGCCCUAGGUUUGCACCCAUAGCAAACCACCAAUAAA